Molecule: long non-coding RNA, 2089 nt
Organism: Passer domesticus (house sparrow)
Lineage: Eukaryota; Metazoa; Chordata; Aves; Passeriformes; Passeridae
Exons: 6
Source: RefSeq, a predicted model, not a curated record
GUUUGGUUGGUUGUUUUUUUUGUUUUCUGCAGGAUCAUUUCCCCUGCAUCCUCUGCCUUAUUGUGAUGGGAAGGAGAGAGAGGAAAGGGUAGGAUGAAAAAAAGUACAUGGAGCCAUUUUUGCUGUGGGAACAAAGAUUUUCACUUACUGGGCUGAAGAUAGUCUCAAGAUGAGAGUGAGAACUGGCAUAACCUGCUGGGUGUAUGGUAUGAAGAUUCCUCUUGUCCCAAAGAAAUGAUUCUAACAUUUUUAAUACCAAUUCCCCGCAGAGCCUGUGUGCUGACAAGCAGUCGCGGCCAAUACUCGUGCUUCUCUCUUCCCCGUCGGGAACCACGGAUUUAUUUUAUGGAUGGAGCAGGAGGCACGGGGAGUCCUGUGACUGAGCAGGUACGGCUUAGCCAUAACAGGGCAAAGUGCAAAGGAGCUUCAGAAGCUCAGGCAAUGGGGGAUCUGUUGUCCUCUUUGCUGAAAGUCUGCCAGACAAGAGAUGUUUCUUUUGAGCCUUCAUUUACCUUUCUUCCUUGUCUGUUCUCAGCUUUAUAGCUUACAAUAUCUUCUGAACAUGCACAAUUCAUAACCAUGUGUCAGUAGAGUGCCCGGGGAACUAAAAUGCUGUUUUUUGUAAAGGUGAAAGGGUAACAGAGCUACGGGGUAAAUUAGGAAAAGAGGUGGCCAAACUCAACUUAGCUGCAGUCUGAAAAUAAAGAAAACUGUGCCAACAGACUGAAAAUAUAAAUCUUCUUUUACAAAACACAAUUGUACCAUUUCUAUUUUUGUGAACACAUCUGCUCAACAUUUAUAUGUAUCUUUUGUUAUAGAUCAAAAAUGCUUUUGAGUUAUCUCUUCUGACCCACCAGUGGCCCACUUUAUUUAGCAUUCAAUUCUGUCAGACCUUUCAAAGUGUAGUGUUCCCCAAUACUGCCAUUAAGUUGAAUAAUACAUGCACAUGGUUUAAUCCAAGCUGUCUCCAGCAGUUAGUCUCCUUCUGGAGAGUAUCCAGAUGUUGCUUGAAAAGCGAUGACUGGGAAAGAAAUAAACAAAUUCACUUGACGAAUUGGCCAGCGUAUCUUUUGUCUCAGCCAUCUUCCACUUCAAAAAUCUUGUUCAAAUAAAAUAAUUGUGCUUGAGACAUAAGUAGAGCGGACUUUUUUCAUCCCCGAAAGUCAAGAUUUUGUGUAAAGAUGGUAAAACAUAAUUAUUCCAGGCAAACAGAAAUGGAAACUGAGGCCCAGCUUUUGGGUUAAACUCAGUAGAAAAGCAAAGAGAGAAAUCUAGAUAGUCUGGAAUAUUUGGUCUAUGAGCAAAAUUCCUUUCUACAUUAACCAUCCUGUCUGCAAAACAAAAUGUUUCUGUUCAGAGUGCAAAAACAUGGCCAAAUUAUAGUGCUCACUCUGCAACUCUGGGCUAUCAGGUGGGCAACAACAACCCUCUCCCACUGUAAGAGCAGUCUAUGUGAGAAAAAAACUGUUAUUCAUUUCUGCAAGGAAGUUGCUGCAGCAUCACUGCAAAGCCAAGGAGCUCAGUAUUCCUGAAGUGGGUUGGUAUGGUUAUUUUUUAGGUUCACUCUCCAGUUACAUAACAACAUAUGCUUUCCCUAUGUACAACGUUAAAAUAGACUGAGAUUAAAAAAAAAAAAAGUAUUCCUACUGCAAAUGAUAUGGCACUGGUGGUUACUACUGAUACAUCCAUGUCUUUCUCCUCCAAAGCCAGCUACAUGCGGCUUCAAUCUGCCAUGAAAUGCCUAUAAUCUCAGAGCCAUAAUGUAAUAGCAAUAUGCAAGGAAAGGAGCCCAAAGAAAAAGUGUCUGCUUGGCAAUCAGAACUUGGAGACUGUCCCUUAAAGUGUUGGUAUGUCCCUGGAUCUCCCUAGUGUCUCCAGCAGAUAUUUUGUGUUGGAAGAAGGAAAUGCUUCAGCUAAGCCCGAAGACACCUGUUGGAAGGUGUUCUAAAACCAAGGAUUGUCGAUAGCAGGGAUCAGUCCCUGCUGGUGGCAGAUGUUUUAUGCUUGAUAGUGACUGGAAGGAAAAUUUCCUACCCAGAAACUGUCAAGCACAAGAUGUCUGUAGUGUAUUAAGAGCUUUAGAAAUAAA